This 1017-nucleotide ribosomal RNA is filed under the name Proteocephalus filicollis. Its description in RNAcentral is "bacterial SSU rRNA". It matches the Rfam family "Eukaryotic small subunit ribosomal RNA", at positions 4 to 888 of the family's 1831-position model. Lineage: Eukaryota; Metazoa; Platyhelminthes; Cestoda; Proteocephalidea; Proteocephalidae. The record is from RNAcentral.
CUGGUUGAUCCUGCCAGUAGUCAUAUGCUUGUAUAACCAAUUAAGCCAUGCAUUUCUCAGUGCACGUCUUUAUACGGUGAAACCGCGAAUGGCUCAUGAAAUCAGCUAUGCUUUAUUGGAUCAUACCCGUUAAAUGGAUAACUGUAAUAAAUCUAGAGCUAAUACAUGCCAUUAUGCCCUGACCCUCACGGGAAUGGGUGCACUUAUUAGAUCAGAAGCCAACCGUUUGUGGCCACAAGGUUGUGCAUGGUGACCUUCUGGUGAUUCUGGAUCAUUUUUACGGAUCGCAGUCGGCCUUGAGUCGGCCCUAUCAACUUUCUAUGGUAGGUGACCUGCCUACUAUGGUGAUUACGGGUAAUGGGGAAUCAGAGUUCGAUUCCGGAGAGAGAGCAUGAGAAACGGCUACCACUUCCAAGGGAGGCAGCAGGCGCGCACAUUACCAACUCCCAGUACGGGGAGGUGGUGACGAAAAAUUCCGAUGCGGGACUCUUAACGAGGUUCCGUAAUCGGAGUGAGUGAACUAUAAAUCAUUUCACGAGGAUUAGUUGGAGGGCAAGUCUGGUGCCAGCAGCCGCGGUAACUCCAGCUCCAAUAGCGUAUAUUAAAGUUGCUGCAGUUAAAAAGCUCGUAGUUGGAUCUCGGUAUCACUGUUGCCCGUCAGUCCUUAGGCGGCAGACUGCGUGUGCAUGGGUUUGACUCGUGUUGCCGUGGUUGGUCGUCCGAGUUGGCGGCGUGACGGUGUGGCCUUUCAGCCAUGUCUGUGGUGAAAUACCCGCAGGUGUAGGCGAGUGUCAGGCGGUGCCUUGCGAAAGUAGGGCUCGUCGGCUCGUCUGCAUGCCUUUGGAUGCCCUUCAAAAGGUGUCUGUGGCGGAUGGCACGUUUACUUUGAACAAAUUUGAGUGCUCAAACCAGGCCGAUGUUGCCUGAAAAGUUUUGCAUGGAAUAAUGGAAUAGGACUUCGGUUCUAUUUCGUUGGUUUUCGGAUCCGAAGUAAUGAUCAAAAGAGACAGGCGGGGG